GUUUGUCCCCUGGAAGCAAAGCGCUAGGGAGAGCUCUACUGGUCCAGAAGACACACCUGCUGUGAGGUCAUGGUGAACUCUUUGCGGUGUGCAGGACCAGACUCCUGUGUGACAGUGUACUCCGGCAAACGCCAGCCUUUCUGCACCACCAGCUCCUGAGCUCCAACAGGGUUACAUUCAGACUGCUGAGGGGUGCUGGAGGACUUCAUCUCUGGUUGAGGACUGCAUAGAUGACCAGACAACACAAAUGAAAAAGAUCAAUACAGGCAAAG
Long non-coding RNA from Lampris incognitus (smalleye Pacific opah), 272 nucleotides. RefSeq lists it as uncharacterized. The transcript is spliced from 3 exons. Lineage: Eukaryota; Metazoa; Chordata; Actinopteri; Lampriformes; Lampridae. The record is from RefSeq and is a predicted model, not a curated record.